ACCCAACUGACGAGUCCCAAAUAGAACGAAACGCACGAUCUGGAU
Non-coding RNA from Schistosoma mattheei, 45 nucleotides. The record is from Rfam. Lineage: Eukaryota; Metazoa; Platyhelminthes; Trematoda; Strigeidida; Schistosomatidae.